CAGCCACCCCCCACCCUUACAUACGCAGCCGCUGGGCAGCGAGAGCCACCAGUGUGCGGGGCAGCAGGCAGGGGCGGUGCGGCACUGCGCGACGGAGGGCGCAGCUUCUUAUAGGUGACACAGAUGACACCCUAUGGCAAGGUGACCAGUCUUCUAAAACACAUUUACUGAAGUGACAGCCCACUCUUGUUCUCCCUUCUGUGGCCUGGGGCA
Long non-coding RNA from Cygnus olor (mute swan), 213 nucleotides. RefSeq lists it as uncharacterized. NCBI's taxonomy places the organism in Eukaryota, Metazoa, Chordata, Aves, Anseriformes, Anatidae. The record is from RefSeq and is a predicted model, not a curated record. The transcript is spliced from 3 exons.